GAUGAAGAACGCAGCGAAAUGCGAUAAGUAAUGUGAAUUGCAGAAUUCAGUGAAUCAUCGAAUCUUGGAACGCACAUUGCGCCCCUUGGUAUUCCGAGGGGCAUGCCUGUUCGAGCGUCAUUAUAACCCCUCAAGCUCAGCUUGGUGUUGGGGCCUGCUGCACUGGCAGCCCUUAAAAUCAGUGGCGGCGCCAUCUGGCUCUAAGCGUAGUAAUUCUUCUCGCUAUGGAGUCCUGGUGGAUGCUUGCCAUCAACCCCCAAUUUUUCUAUGGUUGACCUCGGAUCAGGUAGGGAUACCCGCUGAACUUAAGCAUAUCAAUAAGCGGAGGA
This 329-nucleotide unclassified non-coding RNA is filed under the name soil metagenome. Its description in RNAcentral is "partial contains 5.8S ribosomal RNA, internal transcribed spacer 2, and large subunit ribosomal RNA". The stretch from base 1 to 120 matches the Rfam family "5.8S ribosomal RNA", at positions 35 to 154 of the family's 154-position model. The record is from RNAcentral.